RNAcentral lists this ribosomal RNA (152 nucleotides) under Vibrio sinaloensis. RNAcentral describes it as "partial 23S ribosomal RNA". The stretch from base 1 to 132 matches the Rfam family "Bacterial large subunit ribosomal RNA", at positions 2799 to 2925 of the family's 2925-position model. Lineage: Bacteria; Pseudomonadati; Pseudomonadota; Gammaproteobacteria; Vibrionales; Vibrionaceae. The record is from RNAcentral.
CUGAGAUGAGUCUUCCCUGACCCCUUGAGGGUCCUAAAGGGUUGUUCGAGACUAGAACGUUGAUAGGCAGGGUGUGUAAGUGCUGUGAGGCAUUGAGCUAACCUGUACUAAUUGCCCGUGAGGCUUAACCAUACAACACCCAAAGGGUUUUG